GCUUCUAUUCUCCUGGGAUCCAUGUCAGCAUCUGUGGACACAUACCUGAUAUCAUCUUCUAUUCUCCCGAAUCCAUGUCAGCACCUGUGGACACAUACCUGAUAUCAUCUUCUAUUCUCCUGGGAUCCAUGUCAACACCUGUGGACACAUACCUGACAUCAGCUUCUAUUCUCCUGAAUCCAUGUCAGCACCUGUGGACACAUGUCUGAUAUCAGCACCUGUGAGAGGGAAAUUCCUGAACUGGCACCAACUGCAACAAGAUGAAGAAAACGUCUUUGACUUUCAAGACGAUAUGUACAGAAAGACAACAACAACUCCAAGCUCUGGAGUAUAAUGUUAUAUCGAUAUGGGAACAUGAUGCAAAGAAGCUGGAACCAACAAUUCAGUAUUAAAGACCACUCAGUAGGUCCAAGCCUCGAUGUACGGGACGCCUUCUACAGAGGGAGAGUCAACACAAGAAGAAUUUUUUUACGAUGUUAAAAAAAAUCAAGUACGUUGACUUUACAUCUCUAUGCCCAUGGGAACAGAUACUGUGAGUAUCCAAUAGGACAUUCUACCAUCAUAACACAAUUUUCACCGAUUUGAAAAAUUAUUUUGGUUUCAUAAAGUGUAAAAUUCUAGCCCUGAUAAAACCCUAUCAUCUUUUUGUGUUUUUUAGAAGGGACAGUAUGAUCCUGUUUUGCUCCUGAUGUUAGGCAGUGAGAAGGCUAUUCUGCACUUUCUUGUUAUUUAUUUUAAGAAACUCCUGGAUUAAAGAGGAAAGUGGUAUAUUUCGUACAUUUUUAAUAUCUGAUAGCCACACUUAACUGCUUUUUUUCACUUAUUCAGUGAUCCAAGUGGCGAUGAAAGCUCUCUCGUGAUCAUAGUGGUGGCAUGGUGGUGGUGAUCUUGGUUCAAAUUUACUUUAUAAUAAGCUGAAAAGGAAGGAGUAGAAUUGACCCCAGAAAACUGCAUUUAAUCCAGGAAGAAGAUCAAUUGUAAAACUGUCUUAACUCUUUUUGGGGAUGUUGGGGUAAGUAAAUGACUUACCUUUAAUGAGUGAUAACCCUAAGGUCAUAAUAGAUGUUAGGUCAGUUAAUGACGAAGUUAUUCCUCAUCAUUGUAGACACAAGCGGAAUGUCUGCCUCAGAAAGAUCAAAACAACAUAUUUCUAGCAGCUUUCACUACUAUUCACGCUCAUCUGAAAGUGCACUAUAUGCUGGAGAAGUUCUGUAUUGUAUUAUGAUACAGAUAGUAUUGUUUACAUUUCAGACAGAUUUAAUGAUCCACCUCUAGGCUAUUAUCUUGGUGAAUUAACAGACGAGCCUGAUGGUUAUUACAUCACAUCAUGGGACAGUGGUGGUUCCAAGAAUUAUGGAUACUUACGAUGAGAAGUCCAGUUGUAAAAUUAGAGUGCUUACGCUAAGUUUUAUCAACAGUGAGAAAGCAAUGUUCUCAUCAACAAGUAGUAAAAUAAUGAACAUGAUUAAUCCUUUUUAGCAUUUUAUUGAAUGUUUUAGCAAAACAAAUGUUUCUGACACGUGUCCAAUACUUUGAAGAAGAUUACCAAGAUAAAAUGCAGCAAUCCAUGGUUACAUCCUCAUCGAUUUGAAACUUCGAACACCAGACCAAUUACGUUUAAGGAUGGGACUAAUUCUUGGAGACGAAAUGUUGGUGUAAGUAUCAAAGUAAAAUAUAACUGAUGUUUCAAUGUAUAAAUACUCGUUGAUUGUCAUGACUGCAGCCGGGGCAGAUCUAGAAGGAUUUUAUCUAAAUGAUGGGCCACAUGUAAUUAAAGAAUUGGCAUUCAACUGUUUAGUCACAAGAUAUAUAUGUGUGUUUUUGUUUAAACAAUAACUACAUCCCCUGGAAAAGUGGAAGCAUCGACUAUCCCUAUUUGUAGAGUGUAGUCUGUUUGCUCAGAAUGAACUUUACCAUUGUUUUUACAAAUUGGAGAGAGGAAACCGAGUUGUUAAGAAGUCUUUUCAAAACUUCUUGUUAUAAUCUGGAAGUACUUGGAUGCCCCAGGAUUAAUCGACUCUACCUGUCUGUUUCAUGAUAAAACAAUUUCAUCAUUUUAGUUUAGGAAAAAGUAGUUACUAUA
This 2083-nucleotide long non-coding RNA is filed under the name Limulus polyphemus (Atlantic horseshoe crab). Its description in RNAcentral is "uncharacterized LOC111084326". Lineage: Eukaryota; Metazoa; Arthropoda; Merostomata; Xiphosura; Limulidae. The record is from RNAcentral.